Molecule: transfer RNA, 66 nt
Filed under: Sapajus apella (tufted capuchin)
Lineage: Eukaryota; Metazoa; Chordata; Mammalia; Primates; Cebidae
Also listed under: 5 other names
Description: Cebus apella (Tufted capuchin) tRNA
Rfam family: tRNA
About the family: Transfer RNA (tRNA) molecules are approximately 80 nucleotides in length. Their secondary structure includes four short double-helical elements and three loops (D, anti-codon, and T loops).
Source: Rfam by way of RNAcentral
UGGUAUGUAGUUUAAAUAAAACAAGUGAUUUCGACUCAUUAAAUUAUGGUAAACCAUAUAUACCAA